Molecule: long non-coding RNA, 780 nt
Organism: Jaculus jaculus (lesser Egyptian jerboa)
Lineage: Eukaryota; Metazoa; Chordata; Mammalia; Rodentia; Dipodidae
Exons: 6
Source: RefSeq, a predicted model, not a curated record
GUCCGCGUCAGGUCCUCCUCCUCCUCCUCCGCGCUCCUCCUCGGUCCCCGGGACCCGCAGCGAGGAUGCUUGAAAACUUUGCGGCUCCGCCCUGCCGGGAACACCUGCGGCCGGCGCCUGGCAUUUAUGUUCUGAAACUACCUUGCUGGUUUGUCAUCUGUAAUUCCCCGACACCCAUCCCAUUAAAAUGGAGAAGCUGCUUGAAGGCAGGCAGAGAUGUUGACUGAAGGAGAAACCAGCCUGUGUGACAUCAUCAGAGAAUGCCUCAUGAAGGAGAUGGAACACAAGAGGGGAAGAGCUUAGCAUCGCAAGUGGAGAGGAGAGAAAAGGGCUUGUUGGCUGUCUGGCAAGGAGCAGAGAGAUUUUGCAGUGAUGUGGAUGGAAUUUGGGAUCUUACACAUGCUAGAAAUCUACUCUAAACCAUGGACUGCAAUGGACCACCUAUGAAGAGAUGACAAAAUGUUUAAGAAAUGCUUUAAACCUUUCUGAAUACUUUAAACAGAAAUUACAUUCUACUGACAUUCCUAGGAAAACUGUCUUUCAAAAAUGAAGGAGAAAGUAACACAGUGCCAAAUUAAAAACAGGGUGGGCCUUUGGAGGUGAAGCCUUGCUAUAGGAGGAGUGCCACUGGGGGCCUUGGGAUUUUGUAGUUCAGCCCACUUUCCAGUGCUGUCUAGGUUACUCUUGCUGCUUUUCUCUGGCUGAUGUGGAGAGAUGUGAUGCCCAGCUGCUGUCAUGCUUUCCCAGCUACGAUGAAACUUCUUGAAACCAUAAGCCAAA